This 826-nucleotide long non-coding RNA is filed under the name Polistes fuscatus (common paper wasp). Its description in RNAcentral is "uncharacterized LOC122519797". The record is from RNAcentral. Lineage: Eukaryota; Metazoa; Arthropoda; Insecta; Hymenoptera; Vespidae.
AGGAGAUCUAUAAAAUAUGAUUUACAAGUUAAAUUAGAGAGCUCGUAGACAAGUCAUCCAAAUAAAAAUAAAAAUAAAUAAUUCUUUUAUUGAGUAUGUGAAACAAUUCUUAUGAAAUGGUUUGCCUGAAAAACUGAUUUAUCUAUUGUCAAUGAAAAGAAUCCUAAGUUCGCAGUCCUAAUACUUGACAAUAGUGAUUCGAUAUGUUCGAUCAUAAACGAUAUGUUGAUUAAAUCAUGCUCUGAUCUAUUUGAAUAGCAAAUAGUAAAACAGAAAGAGAGAGAGUGACAGAGAUAAAGAGUUCAUUGAUUAAUCAAAUCAAACCUGACGAUGCAUAAUGGCCACGUGUUUGAUAUGAGCGUAACAAAUGGCACGCGUCGACUUUAAAUAUGUGCGCAUUGAAUUUAAUAUAUAAAAUUAUUGAAUCCUUUGAAUUCUCUUUGAAUGUCAACGAAUUGAGGACAUUGAAGAAAUCUUUAACGACUUAUAAAGGGAAAGCCAAGUUAAUAGGACACCGAUUUUUUUUAAAUUCUAGGGGUCCAUCCGAACCAUAUACACUGUGCAAGUAGUGAAAAGAUAACACAAAUAACUGCGUUACCUCCAUAUAUUUGAUUUUCUUAUAUAUGAAGAAAUAGUCAUAGGCGUAUCUUGAAUAAACAAAUUCCAUAAAAAGAGCAUGCUUCGCUUAAGUCUCGCUGUCAUCAUUAAAUUAUAAUAUGUGCUAGGAUCGUAUAAACUGAAUGAUUUGCGUUUCUUCGAGGUCGUACGUAAAAUAUGACAUGUUGCUUAUAAAACAAGAAAAAAAUCGUUUGUUUAUUAUUUUUAA